Molecule: small nuclear RNA, 157 nt
Filed under: Gopherus evgoodei (Goodes thornscrub tortoise)
Lineage: Eukaryota; Metazoa; Chordata; Testudines; Testudinidae
Description: U4 spliceosomal RNA (ENSGEVG00005006762.1)
Rfam family: U4 spliceosomal RNA (bases 8-113)
About the family: U4 small nuclear RNA (U4 snRNA) is a component of the major U2-dependent spliceosome. The structure of U4 snRNA from yeast and human has been reported.
Source: RNAcentral
CAGGUGUUGCAGUGGCAGUAUCAUAACCAAUGAAGUUAAUCUGAGGUAUGAUUAUUGCUAGUUGAAAAUUUUUUUCCACACAUAGUUGCUUUAUUUGUGUGUUUGUGUUUAUAAGCUGACAGUAUGAAGGCUCUUAAAUAUUAGACCAAUAAUUAUU